CCUACGGGUGGCUGCAGUGGGGAAUUUUGGACAAUGGGCGCAAGCCUGAUCCAGCAAUGCCGCGUGCAGGAUGAAGGCCUUCGGGUUGUAAACUGCUUUUGUACGGAACGAAACGGUCCUCUCUAAUACGGGGGGCUAAUGACGGUACCGUAAGAAUAAGCACCGGCUAACUACGUGCCAGCAGCCGCGGUAAUACGUAGGGUGCGAGCGUUAAUCGGAAUUACUGGGCGUAAAGCGUGCGCAGGCGGUUUUGUAAGACAGAUGUGAAAUCCCCGGGCUCAACCUGGGACCUGCAUUUGUGACUGCAAGGCUAGAGUACGGUAGAGGGGGAUGGAAUUCCGCGUGUAGCAGUGAAAUGCGUAGAUAUGCGGAGGAACACCGAUGGCGAAGGCAAUCCCCUGGACCUGUACUGACGCUCAUGCACGAAAGCGUGGGGAGCAAACAGGAUUAGAUACCCUGGUAGUC
This 465-nucleotide ribosomal RNA is filed under the name uncultured Rhodoferax sp. RNAcentral's name for it is "bacterial SSU rRNA". It matches the Rfam family "Bacterial small subunit ribosomal RNA", at positions 338 to 795 of the family's 1533-position model. The record is from RNAcentral. Lineage: Bacteria; Pseudomonadati; Pseudomonadota; Betaproteobacteria; Burkholderiales; Comamonadaceae.